GGAAAAGGAAAAAAAGGCCCUGAAGACACCUCUUUGCCAGAGCCUGCUGCCCCUCUUCUUCCGCUGCCAUCAUGAGAAGCGGCUUGUGGCACAGGUGAGGACCCGUGGGCUGCUGCUGUUCCCCUGGCAGGGGCCUCGGCUGCCUCCUGCUCUGGCACCUGCCAAGCUGCAGCCUCCUCCAGGCCUUGGCACAGGGACGCAGGUCCUGCACCCUGCGCUGUGGGGCCAUCUCCACGUCUCUGCUGCUCCCCAGGCUUCUCAGGAAACACUGCUUUCUGUGGUCGAGUUCCUGAAAAAAAGGGAUCUUGAAAGACUGGUGAAGAGGCAGAAUCUGUGGAAGUUCAGCAAGUGCCUGGUAAGGAGGGCCUGCAAGCCCCAGCCUCAGACCGGAGAAGGCCCCUGAGCGCAGUGCUCAGUGUGCAGGGCGGGCAGCUGUGCCCCUGCCCGGUGCUGCAGCCAGAGACCGCGCCGGCUCUUCUCCUAGCUCACGAUGGAGCCCCCGCCCGGUGGGGCUGCGGGCCGGCACCGCGGCUCCCCGGGCAGCAGCCGGCCCUCUGCCCCCUCUCCUCGGGAGCCCGGCGCCGGCCGCCGCUGGCCGCGCCUCAGGGCUGUGCAGGCAGGGGAGGCCGGGGCCGGGCGCAGGCAGCGCCCAGCCGAGGGGCUGAGCCCGCGCCAACCCUUCCCUCCUGCCGCUCUCUGCAGCUGGCAGAGGACAGGAGCAGAGCGGCCGAGCACCUGCACCGGGCCCUGCCCUACCUGCAGAGCCCACAGGAGCCCCUGCGAGCGGCGGCCAUCAGGUUCAUGGGCAUGGCCGCGCAGCACCUGAGGGAGAAGAAGGAAGAGUUCCGGCUCAUCUGCAACGGUGAGUGAGGGCAGCGGGCUGGCAGCGGGGGCUGCCGGGGAAGCUGCAAGCCCUGCCCCGGCUGCGGAGGGCUCUGCUCCCUGUGCGGAUGAGGGGCAGCGUGGGCAGAGCACACAGAGAUUUCAGGGCCACCUGGGGGAUUCAUGGCCAGCAGCUUCGGGCUGCUCCCGUUGGUCCCUGCUCCCUCCUGGCCAUGGCUAGAGCCAGCUGGGAUGGCCCGGGCAGGGGGAUCUCCUCAGCUCCUCACAGAUCCGGGAUCUGACCAUGGCUCUGUUCCUUUCUCUUUCAGCUCUUGAACACCUGACAGAGGACACCAGCAGUGCGGUGUCAGAUGUGGCACAUCAAACAUUGUAUGUCCUCCAGGCACUGCAGAGUGAGCGAUAUUCCAUCUUCCAGAGGGUGCAAGAGCAUCUCCGCUGGGCAUGGAGGACACGGCCUCGUCUGUCAGGGCUCGGCUGGCUGCGCUGCUGGAGCUCUGCAGAGAGCUGAUCCCAGAGACUCUGUCUGCUGAGGCCACCUUAGCCAGCGGGAAUUUUCCAUUUCUUUAAGAUUGUUCUUUUCUUCUUCUUGUUUUUUCUUUAGUAUAUAAAUGUAGAGUGUGUUAUAAUAUACAGACUCCCAGGAGCUUUCUUUUGCUGCCCAG
This 1505-nucleotide long non-coding RNA is filed under the name Junco hyemalis (dark-eyed junco). RNAcentral describes it as "lncRNA (ENSJHYG00000000278.1)". The record is from RNAcentral. Lineage: Eukaryota; Metazoa; Chordata; Aves; Passeriformes; Passerellidae.